UCCCCGCCUCGGCAGCCACGGGACACCUGCAUCUGCCAACAAGACUGGAAGCAGAAAGGGACAGAGACGGCGAAGUUUGACGGUCUGGAAAGCAGAGACCAGCAGGGCUGACUGCUUGGGAGCACCAAAUAUCCGGACAGCGCCUCUCGGGAGGUCCGAGAAGAGAACCGCGAUCUGUUUCAGCACCGGGGCUCAGGACAGUUCCCAGCGGGCUCCGUUUCGUCUCCAGAACCCUGGACAGCUCCUCCAGAGACGGGGUUUCACCAUGUUGGCCAGGCUGGUCUCAAACUCUUGACCUCUUCAUCCGUCCACCUCAGCCUCCCAAAGUGCUAGGAUUACAGGCGUGAGUCACUGCGCCUGGCCCAAGUCCGGAAUUUUCAACAGGACAUGGGUGUUACUGUGCCCAUGUGACAUUUGGGGAACCCAAGGCCCUGAGAAAGGCAGAAAAAUAACCCACGCAGGGACUCUCAGCCCACAAGUGAAGCUCUUGGAAUGCACUCCCUCCACCUCCAACCAGAGCUCCCCACAACUGACCCUGCCUUCUUCUGCAAGCUCCAUUUCAUCAAGGGAAACGAUCCUUAUUGCCUCACCAUUUCCCACGUGAAGUCUGUAUUGACAUUCUCAUAGACCUGGGAUAUUGUGUCUGCAGCACAUAGUCCAAUUAUUUUCAUGUUAUCUACUGACAGGUCUAUUUGUCUCCCUGUUACACUGUGAGCUCCGUGAGGGCAGAAACAAUGUUAGUAUUUUCACUGCUGUGUCCCCAGCGCCUGGUCCGGGGCCCGGCACACAGCAGGCAUAUAAUAAGCAUGUGUUGAAUCAAUAAAGGCAUCAAAGAAUAAACCAAUACAUCAAUCAAUAAAUGAAUGAAUGGCCUCAGC
RNAcentral lists this long non-coding RNA (878 nucleotides) under Homo sapiens (human). RNAcentral's name for it is "HSALNT0395858". Lineage: Eukaryota; Metazoa; Chordata; Mammalia; Primates; Hominidae. The record is from RNAcentral.